UGGGGAAUAUUGCACAAUGGGCGCAAGCCUGAUGCAGCCAUGCCGCGUGUGUGAAGAAGGCCUUCGGGUUGUAAAGUACUUUCAGUCGGGAGGAAGGUGUCAAGGUUAACAACCUUGGCAAUUGACGUUACCGACAGAAGAAGCACCGGCUAACUCCGUGCCAGCAGCCGCGGUAAUACGGAGGGUGCAAGCGUUAAUCGGAAUUACUGGGCGUAAAGCGCACGCAGGCGGUUGAUUGAGUCAGAUGUGAAAUCCCCGGGCUUAACCCGGGAAUUGCAUCUGAUACUGGUCAGCUAGAGUCUUGUAGAGGGGGGUAGAAUUCCAUGUGUAGCGGUGAAAUGCGUAGAGAUGUGGAGGAAUACCGGUGGCGAAGGCGGCCCCCUGGACAAAGACUGACGCUCAGGUGCGAAAGCGUGGGGAGCAAACAGG
This 429-nucleotide ribosomal RNA is filed under the name Chloroflexota bacterium. RNAcentral describes it as "Chloroflexi bacterium partial 16S ribosomal RNA". It matches the Rfam family "Bacterial small subunit ribosomal RNA", at positions 355 to 776 of the family's 1533-position model. Lineage: Bacteria; Bacillati; Chloroflexota. The record is from RNAcentral.